This 418-nucleotide long non-coding RNA is filed under the name Nicotiana benthamiana. RNAcentral describes it as "long non-coding RNA (NBEN_LNC034488)". Lineage: Eukaryota; Viridiplantae; Streptophyta; Magnoliopsida; Solanales; Solanaceae. The record is from RNAcentral.
UGUGACCGAGUCAGGGAUGGUAUCAGAGCAGCUUCAACCCACACUUGAUCGAAAGGAGGAGGCGCCGUAAACACAGUUGAGGGAAUUGAGCACCGGUAAGUACCGUGCGUGUCCCCCGGGGCAUUCACUAUUCCUAUUUUAAGGGUUUAGUCUAUCCCCGAGUGUUUUCCGCCUUCUUUUAGCCUCAGUGAACCAAGUUCAGUGAUCCAAUCGCGUGUCCCCUGGGGCAUUCACUAUUCAUAUUUUAAGGGUUUAGUCUAUCCCCGAGUGUUUUUCGCCUUCUUUUAGCUCCAGUGAACCAAGUUCAGUGAUCCAAUCAGCCUGAAUCGGACAAAAGAAACUCUAACUCGAAGGAUGGGAUCUAAACUUUCUCGAAAGCUUGCUAAAAGUGAUUCCCUCGAGAGAGCUUGCAAGCCCA